Molecule: ribosomal RNA, 393 nt
Filed under: uncultured bacterium
Lineage: Bacteria
Description: partial 16S ribosomal RNA
Rfam family: Bacterial small subunit ribosomal RNA
Source: RNAcentral
AUACGGAGGAUGCAAGCGUUAUCCGGAUUUAUUGGGUUUAAAGGGAGCGUAGGUGGGAUAUUAAGUCAGCUGUGAAAGUUUGGGGCUCAACCUUAAAAUUGCAGUUGAUACUGGUUUCCUUGAGUACGGUAUAGGUGGGCGGAAUUCGUGGUGUAGCGGUGAAAUGCUUAGAUAUCACGAAGAACUCCGAUCGCGAAGGCAGCUCACCGGGCCGGAACUGACACUGAUGCUCGAAAGUGCGGGUAUCAAACAGGAUUAGAUACCCUGGUAGUCCGCACAGUAAACGAUGAAUACUCGCUGUUUGCGAUACACUGUAAGCGGCCAAGCGAAAGCGUUAAGUAUUCCACCUGGGGAGUACGCCGGCAACGGUGAAACUCAAAUGAAUUGACGGGG